This 2395-nucleotide ribosomal RNA is filed under the name Clostridium tetani. RNAcentral describes it as "bacterial LSU rRNA". It matches the Rfam family "Bacterial large subunit ribosomal RNA", at positions 320 to 2737 of the family's 2925-position model. Lineage: Bacteria; Bacillati; Bacillota; Clostridia; Eubacteriales; Clostridiaceae. The record is from RNAcentral.
AGACAGACUUUAAUCGAAGAGAGCUGGAACGCUCUACCACAGAAGGUAAUAGUCCUGUAGGUAAAAAAUUAUGUCUUUUAGGUCUAAUCCAGAGUACCACGAGACACGUGAAACCUUGUGGGAAGCAGGGAGGACCACCUCCCAAGGCUAAAUACUAACUGGUGACCGAUAGUGAAGCAGUACCGUGAGGGAAAGGUGAAAAGAACCCCGGGAGGGGAGUGAAAUAGAACCUGAAACCGUAUGCUUACAAACAGUGGGAGCACGUUAAUGUGUGACCGCGUGCUUUUUGUAGAACGAGCCAGCGAGUUACGGUAUGUAGCAAGGUUAAGCACUUAAGGUGCGUAGCCGAAGGGAAACCGAGUCUGAAUAGGGCGACUAGUUGCAUGCCGUAGACCCGAAACCGAGUGACCUAUCCAUGGGCAGGUUGAAGCGGAAGUAAAAUUCCGUGGAGGACCGAACCACGUUGGUGUUGAAAAACCAUGGGAUGACCUGUGGAUAGCGGAGAAAUUCCAAUCGAACUCGGAGAUAGCUGGUUCUCCUCGAAAUAGCUUUAGGGCUAGCGUCUGGUUAUUGAGUAAUGGAGGUAGAGCACUGAAUGGGCUAGGGGCUGACAACAGUUACUGAACCCUAUCAAACUCCGAAUGCCAUAUACUUUUAUCCAGGCAGUCAGACUGCGAGUGAUAAGAUCCGUAGUCGAGAGGGAAACAACCCAGACCAUCAGCUAAGGUCCCAAAGUGUAAGUUAAGUGGAAAAGGAUGUGGGAUUUCUAAGACAACUAGGAUGUUGGCUUAGAAGCAGCCACUCAUUUAAAGAGUGCGUAAUAGCUCACUAGUCAAGAGAUCCUGCGCCGAAGAUGUCCGGGGCUCAAACUUACCACCGAAGCUAUGGAUUCAAUAGAAUGGUAGAGGAGCUUCCUGUAUGGGUAGAAGUCGUAUCGUAAGAAGCGGUGGACUGUACAGGAGUGAGUAUGCUGGCAUGAGUAGCGAGAAAUAAGUGAGAAUCUUAUUGGUCGAAAACCUAAGGUUUCCUGAGGAAGGUUCGUCCGCUCAGGGUUAGUCGGGACCUAAGCCCAGGCCGAAAGGCGUAGGUGAUGGACAAUCGGUUGAUAUUCCGAUACCGCCAACUUUCGUUUGACAAAUGGGGUGACACAGAAGGAUAAGGUAUGCACACUAUUGGAUGUGUGUCUAAGCACUUAGGCGUGCUUGAUUGGCAAAUCCGUCAAGCUAAGCUGAGGUGUUAUGGGGAGCCUAUUUUGGCGAAGUGCCUGAUUCCACACUGUCAAGAAAAGCCUCUAUGGAGAAUGUUGGUGCCCGUACCGCAAACCGACACAGGUAGGUGAGGAGAGAAUCCUAAGACCAUCGGAAGAAUUGCUGUUAAGGAACUAGGCAAAUUGACCCCGUAACUUCGGGAGAAGGGGUGCCAUGGAAACAUGGCCGCAGUGAAUAGGCCCAAGCAACUGUUUAGCAAAAACACAGGUCUCUGCUAAAGCGAAAGCUGAUGUAUAGGGGCUGACGCCUGCCCGGUGCUGGAAGGUUAAAGGGAUCCGUUAGCGUAAGCGAAGCGGUGAACUUAAGCCCCAGUGAACGGCGGCCGUAACUAUAACGGUCCUAAGGUAGCGAAAUUCCUUGUCGGGUAAGUUCCGACCCGCACGAAUGGCGUAAUGACUUGGGCACUGUCUCAACAGCAAAUCCGGCGAAAUUGUAGUGCAAGUGAAGAUGCUUGCUACCCGCGAUAGGACGGAAAGACCCCGUAGAGCUUUACUGUAGCUUAACAUUGAAUUUCGGUAUUGUCUGUACAGGAUAGGUGGGAGACUUAGAAGCAGGAGCGUCAGUUUCUGUGGAGUCAUCCUUGGGAUACCACCCUGAUAGUACUGAAAUUCUAACCGGGGACCAUGAAUCUGGUCACGGGACAUUGUUAGGUGGGCAGUUUGACUGGGGCGGUCGCCUCCUAAAAAGUAACGGAGGCGCCCAAAGGUUCCCUCAGCGCGGUCGGAAAUCGCGCGUAGAGUGUAAAGGCAUAAGGGAGCCUGACUGCGACACAUACAGGUGGAGCAGGGACGAAAGUCGGGCUUAGUGAUCCGGUGGUUCCUCGUGGGAGGGCCAUCGCUCAACGGAUAAAAGCUACCUCGGGGAUAACAGGCUGAUCUCCCCCAAGAGUCCACAUCGACGGGGAGGUUUGGCACCUCGAUGUCGGCUCGUCGCAUCCUGGGGCUGGAGUAGGUCCCAAGGGUUGGGCUGUUCGCCCAUUAAAGCGGCACGCGAGCUGGGUUCAGAACGUCGUGAGACAGUUCGGUCCCUAUCCGUCGCGGGCGUAGGAAAUUUGAAGGGAGCUGUCCUUAGUACGAGAGGACCGGGAUGGACUGACCUCUGGUGCACCAGUUGUCACGCCAGUGGCA